GGUAAAUUCUGCCCUAUGGGUUUCUAAAUGGCUGCAGUAUUUUGACUGUGCAAAGGUAGCAUAGUAAUUAGUUUCUUAAUUAGAAGCUGGUAUGAAUGGAUUAAUGAGAAAGAUAUUUUAUUAAUUUCAUUUUUAUAAAUUAAAUUUUAAGUAAAAAUGCUUAAUUAAUUUCUAGGGACGAUAAGACCCUAUAGAACUUUAUAUAAUAUCAUAUAUUAAUAUAUUUUUAUAAUAAAUAUUAUAUUAAUAUUUAUUAUAAUUUGCUGGGGUGGUAGAUAAAUUUUAACUUUAUAUUUAAAUUUCAAUAAUUAAUGUAAAUAAUGAUCCUUAUGGAAUUUAAGAUUUAGUUACCUUAGGGAUAACAGCGCAAUUUAAGUGGGGAGUUCAUAUCUAUAUUUUAUUUUGCGACCUCGAUGUUGAAUUAAGGAAAGAUUAAGAAGUAGAGUUCUUGUAUCUAAGUCUGUUCGACUU
Molecule: ribosomal RNA, 471 nt
Filed under: Nephotettix virescens
Lineage: Eukaryota; Metazoa; Arthropoda; Insecta; Hemiptera; Cicadellidae
Description: partial large subunit ribosomal RNA
Source: RNAcentral